UGGGGAAUAUUGCACAAUGGGCGCAAGCCUGAUGCAGCCAUGCCGCGUGUAUGAAGAAGGCCUUCGGGUUGUAAAGUACUUUCAGCGGGGAGGAAGGCGAUAAGGUUAAUAACCUUGUCGAUUGACGUUACCCGCAGAAGAAGCACCGGCUAACUCCGUGCCAGCAGCCGCGGUAAUACGGAGGGGGCAAGCGUUAAUCGGAAUUACUGGGCGUAAAGCGCACGCAGGCGGUCAGUCAAGUCGGAUGUGAAAUCCCCGGGCUCAACCUGGGAACUGCAUUCGAAACUGGCAGGCUAGAGUCUUGUAGAGGGGGGUAGAAUUCCAGGUGUAGCGGUGAAAUGCGUAGAGAUCUGGAGGAAUACCGGUGGCGAAGGCGGCCCCCUGGACAAAGACUGACGCUCAGGUGCGAAAGCGUGGGGAGCAAACA
This 427-nucleotide ribosomal RNA is filed under the name uncultured bacterium. RNAcentral describes it as "partial 16S ribosomal RNA". It matches the Rfam family "Bacterial small subunit ribosomal RNA", at positions 355 to 774 of the family's 1533-position model. The record is from RNAcentral.